GGGUCGUUAGCUCAGUUGGUAGAGCGCUUCGUUUACACCGAAGAUGUCGGGAGUUCGAGUCUCUCACGACCCACCA
RNAcentral lists this transfer RNA (76 nucleotides) under Marinovum algicola. RNAcentral's name for it is "tRNA-Val". It matches the Rfam family "tRNA". From Rfam's summary of the family: Transfer RNA (tRNA) molecules are approximately 80 nucleotides in length. Their secondary structure includes four short double-helical elements and three loops (D, anti-codon, and T loops). Further hydrogen bonds mediate the characteristic L-shaped molecular structure. tRNAs have two regions of fundamental functional importance: the anti-codon, which is responsible for specific mRNA codon recognition, and the 3' end, to which the tRNAs corresponding amino acid is attached (by aminoacyl-tRNA synthetases). tRNAs cope with the degeneracy of the genetic code in two manners: having more than one tRNA (with a specific anti-codon) for a particular amino acid; and 'wobble' base-pairing, i.e. permitting non-standard base-pairing at the 3rd anti-codon position. RNAcentral also lists the same sequence under 30 other names. Lineage: Bacteria; Pseudomonadati; Pseudomonadota; Alphaproteobacteria; Rhodobacterales; Roseobacteraceae. The record is from RNAcentral.